UUGGGGAUAGCUCAGUGGUAGAGCGCUUGCCUAGCAGGCGCAAGGCCCUGGGUUCAACCCCCAGCUCUGGAA
Molecule: transfer RNA, 72 nt
Filed under: Rattus norvegicus (Norway rat)
Lineage: Eukaryota; Metazoa; Chordata; Mammalia; Rodentia; Muridae
Rfam family: tRNA
About the family: Transfer RNA (tRNA) molecules are approximately 80 nucleotides in length. Their secondary structure includes four short double-helical elements and three loops (D, anti-codon, and T loops).
Source: Rfam by way of RNAcentral